UGGGGAAUAUUGCACAAUGGGCGCAAGCCUGAUGCAGCCAUGCCGCGUGUGUGAAGACGGCCUUCGGGUUGUAAAGCACUUUCAGCGGGGAGGAAGGCGUUAAGGUUAAUAACCUUGGCGAUUGACGUUACCCGCAGAAGAAGCACCGGCUAACUCCGUGCCAGCAGCCGCGGUAAUACGGAGGGUGCAAGCGUUAAUCGGAAUUACUGGGCGUAAAGCGCACGCAGGCGGUCUGUCAAGUCGGAUGUGAAAUCCCCGGGCUCAACCUGGGAACUGCAUUCGAAACUGGCAGGCUAGAGUCAUGUAGAGGGGGGUAGAAUUCCAGGUGUAGCGGUGAAAUGCGUAGAGAUCUGGAGGAAUACCGGUGGCGAAGGCGGCCCCCUGGGCAAAGACUGUCGCUCAGGUGCGAAAGCGUGGGGAGCAAACAGG
Molecule: ribosomal RNA, 429 nt
Filed under: Chloroflexota bacterium
Lineage: Bacteria; Bacillati; Chloroflexota
Description: Chloroflexi bacterium partial 16S ribosomal RNA
Rfam family: Bacterial small subunit ribosomal RNA
Source: RNAcentral